GAUGAACGCUGGCGGCGUGCCUAAUACAUGCAAGUCGAGCGAACAGAUGAGGAUCUUGCGCCUCUGACGUUAGCAGCGGACGGGUGAGUAACACGUGGAUAACCUACCUAUAAGACUGGGAUAACUUCGGGAAACCGGAGCUAAUACCGGAUAAUAUAUUGAACCGCAUGGUUCAAUAGUGAAAGACGGUUUUGCUGUCACUUAUAGAUGGAUCCGCGCCGCAUUAGCUAGUUGGUAAGGUAACGGCUUACCAAGGCAACGAUGCGUAGCCGACCUGAGAGGGUGAUCGGCCACAGUGGAACUGAGACACGGUCCAGACUCCUACGGGAGGCAGAAGUAGGGAAGCGUGCGCAAUGGGCGAAAGCCUGACGGAGCAACGCCGCGUGAGUGAUGAAGGUCUUCGGAUCGGAAAACUCUGUUAGUAGGGAAGAACAAAUGUGUAAGUAACGAUGCACGUCUUGACGGUACCUAAUCAGAAAGCCACGGCUAACUACGUG
RNAcentral lists this ribosomal RNA (497 nucleotides) under uncultured bacterium. RNAcentral describes it as "partial 16S ribosomal RNA". It matches the Rfam family "Bacterial small subunit ribosomal RNA", at positions 28 to 507 of the family's 1533-position model. The record is from RNAcentral.